This 1973-nucleotide ribosomal RNA is filed under the name human gut metagenome. RNAcentral describes it as "bacterial LSU rRNA". It matches the Rfam family "Bacterial large subunit ribosomal RNA", at positions 1 to 1985 of the family's 2925-position model. The record is from RNAcentral.
AAAAGCAAAUAAGGGCGUAUGGCGGAUGCCUAGGCUCACGGAGGCGAUGAAGGACGUGAUAAGCUGCGAUAAGCCGCGGUUAGGUGCAAAUGACCCUUGACCCGCGGAUUUCCGAAUGGGACAACCCGGCCGCCUUACGGCGGUCAUCAUGACAGAGUCAUGAGGCGAACGCGGGGAACUGAAACAUCUUAGUACCCGCAGGAAGAGAAAAUAAGUCAAUGAUUCCCCCAGUAGUGGCGAGCGACCGGGGAAGAGCCCAAACCGGGUGUGUCGAGGCACAUCCGGGGUUGUAGGACCGCGCUGUUGUACGAGCAUGAGCGAGCGUGACCGUCUGGAAAGUCGGGCCGCAGCGGGUGACAGCCCCCUUCGCGAAGUUCAUGCCGGCAUAGCGGUAUCCUGAGUAACGCGGGACACGAGGAAUCCUGCGCGAAUCCGCCGGGACCAUCCGGCAAGGCUAAAUACUCCCGUGAGACCGAUAGUGGACCAGUACCGUGAGGGAAAGGUGAAAAGAACUCCGACGAGGAGAGUGAAAUAGCCCCUGAAACCAUACGCCUACAAGCGGUCGGAGCAUGUGUAGCAUGUGACGGCGUGCCUUUUGCAUAAUGAACCUACGAGUUGCCGUCACGGGCAAGGUUAAGCGCCUAAGGCGCCGAGCCGCAGUGAAAGCGAGCCUGAAUAGGGCGCAGAGUCCGUGGAGGCAGACGCGAAACCGAGUGAUCUACACUUGUCCAGGAUGAAGUCCCGGUAACACGGGAUGGAGGUCCGCACCGAUAAGCGUUGAAAAGCUUCCGGAUGAGGUGAGUGUAGGAGUGAAAGGCCAAUCAAACUCGGAGAUAGCUCGUACUCCCCGAAAUGCAUUUAGGUGCAGCGUUCCGCGAUAGCGUCAAGAGGUAGAGCGACCGAUAGGAUGCGAGGGCUUCACCGCCUAUCAAGUCCUGACGAACUCCGAAUGCUUGACGCCUGCAGCGGGGCAGCAAGGGGGCGGGUGCUAAGGUCCGUCCCCGAGAGGAGAAGAAUCCAGACCGCCGUCUAAGGUCCCGGAAUUCUGCCUGAGUUAGUCUAACGAAGUGAGGUCCCUGAGACAGCCAGGAUGUUGGCUUGGAAGCAGCCAUUCAUUCAAAGAGUGCGUAACAGCUCACUGGUCGAGGGUCCUUGCGUGGAUAAUAAUCGGGUAUAAGGCAGAUACCGAAGGCGCGGGAUAGUAAUAAUAAAAGUAUCGGUAGGGGAGCAUUCCAUGUGCGUCGAAUGUUCAUGGUGACGUGAGCUGGAGCGCAUGGAAAAGCAAAUGUAGGUAUAAGUAACGACAAGGAGGGCGAGAACCCCUCCCGCCGCAAGACCAAGGUUUCCCGGGCAAUGCCAGUCAUCCCGGGGUCAGUCGGGUCCUAAGUCUAAGCCGAACGGCGAGGGCGAUGGCAGAAACGGUUAAUAUUCCGUUACUGCCUGUGCGAGCGAUGUGGAGACGGAGAAGUGGAACCGCCGCGGGGUGACGGAAGUCCCCGUUGAAGGGCGUAGGUUAUGAGGGAUGCAGGCAAAUCCGCAUUCCGAGCCGACCCUGACAGUACUCCGGCGCCUCCGGGCAACGGAGAUAGUGCGGGUAAUCAUGCUCCCGAGAAAAUCCGCUAAGCAAUCGCACAGGCACCCGUACCGCAAACGGACACACGUAGUCGGGUAGAAUAUACUAAGGCGUUGAGAGACUCAUGGUUAAGGAACUAGGCAAACUGACCCCGUAACUUCGGGAUAAGGGGUCCUCACGUAGAGUGAGGCGCAGAGAAUAGGUCCAGGCAACUGUUUAACAAAAACACAGGGCUGUGCGAACUCGAAAGAUGAAGUAUACAGCCUGACACCUGCCCGGUGCCGGAAGGUUAAGAGGAGAGCUCAGGAGCAAUCCGAAGGUUUGAAUUGAAGCCCCGGUAAACGGCGGCCGUAACUAUAACGGUCCUAAGGUAGCGAAAUUCCUUGUCGGGUAAGUUCCG